Molecule: ribosomal RNA, 465 nt
Filed under: uncultured Klebsiella sp.
Lineage: Bacteria; Pseudomonadati; Pseudomonadota; Gammaproteobacteria; Enterobacterales; Enterobacteriaceae
Description: bacterial SSU rRNA
Rfam family: Bacterial small subunit ribosomal RNA
Source: RNAcentral
CCUACGGGAGGCUGCAGUGGGGAAUAUUGCACAAUGGGCGCAAGCCUGAUGCAGCCAUGCCGCGUGUGUGAAGAAGGCCUUCGGGUUGUAAAGCACUUUCAGCGGGGAGGAAGGCGGUGAGGUUAAUAACCUCAUCGAUUGACGUUACCCGCAGAAGAAGCACCGGCUAACUCCGUGCCAGCAGCCGCGGUAAUACGGAGGGUGCAAGCGUUAAUCGGAAUUACUGGGCAUAAAGCGCACGCAGGCGGUCUGUCAAGUCGGAUGUGAAAUCCCCGGGCUCAACCUGGGAACUGCAUUCGAAACUGGCAGGCUAGAGUCUUGUAGAGGGGGGUAGAAUUCCAGGUGUAGCGGUGAAAUGCGUAGAGAUCUGGAGGAGUACCGGUGGCGAAGGCGGCCCCCUGGACAAAGACUGACGCUCAGGUGCGAAAGCGUGGGGAGCAAACAGGAUUAGAUACCCCUGUAGUC